GGUCCGCUGGCUCAAUGGCAGAGCGUCUGACUACGACAUGACUCCUCAUUCUGGGAUUAACAUCCCCAGGAAAGGAUCGAGUAAUCAGGAGGUUCCAGGUUCGACCCCUGGGUGGAUCG
Molecule: non-coding RNA, 119 nt
Organism: Chaetomium sp. MPI-CAGE-AT-0009
Lineage: Eukaryota; Fungi; Ascomycota; Sordariomycetes; Sordariales; Chaetomiaceae
Source: the annotation of a GenBank genome assembly